CUACGGGAGGCACCAGUGGGGAAUAUUGGACAAUGGGCGCAAGCCUGAUCCAGCAAUGCCGCGUGAGUGAAGACGGCCUUAGGGUUGUAAAACUCUUUCGCUAGGGAAGAUAAUGACUGUACCUAGUAAAGAAGUCCCGGCUAACUCCGUGCCAGCAGCCGCGGUAAUACGGAGGGGACUAGCGUUGUUCGGAAUUACUGGGCGUAAAGAGUUCGUAGGCGGACUGACAAGUUAGAGGUGAAAUCCCAGGGCUCAACCCUGGAACUGCCUUUAAAACUGUCAGUCUAGAGACCGGAAGAGGUUAGGGGAAUACCUAGUGUAGAGGUGAAAUUCGUAGAUAUUAGGUGGAACACCAGUGGCGAAGGCGCCUAACUGGUCCGGUACUGACGCUGAGGAACGAAAGCGUGGGGAGCAAACAGGAUUAGAUACCCCGGUAGUC
This 439-nucleotide ribosomal RNA is filed under the name uncultured bacterium. RNAcentral describes it as "partial 16S ribosomal RNA". It matches the Rfam family "Bacterial small subunit ribosomal RNA", at positions 339 to 795 of the family's 1533-position model. The record is from RNAcentral.